RNAcentral lists this long non-coding RNA (261 nucleotides) under Gossypium barbadense (sea-island cotton). RNAcentral describes it as "long non-coding RNA (GBAR_LNC021081)". The record is from RNAcentral. Lineage: Eukaryota; Viridiplantae; Streptophyta; Magnoliopsida; Malvales; Malvaceae.
UGGUUGUAAAAAUUUGGUACCCAGACCUGGCGAUCGGGUCGGGUAAAGGGUGUUACAUCUGACCUGAUCGAAGGUUCGAGUUACGGAAUGCUACAGUCGUUGCCGGAGCAACUACCGUAAAAAACAUUGUAAGUAAAUCAAUUAAUCAUUUGAAUAUUCCAUACAUGCAUUCAUUAUAUGCUAAAGAAAAUUUUUCGAGAUUCAAUUGAACUUACGGAAGCUCAAUUACUAAUUCAAAUAUGAAAUAGGACUAUAACAACC